UCGCUUAGGGGUUGUUGAAGCGC
Molecule: microRNA, 23 nt
Filed under: Paeonia lactiflora (Chinese peony)
Lineage: Eukaryota; Viridiplantae; Streptophyta; Magnoliopsida; Saxifragales; Paeoniaceae
Description: pla-miR11608
Source: miRBase by way of RNAcentral